UACGUAGGGAGCAAGCGUUGUCCGGAAUCAUUGGGCGUAAAGCGCGCGUAGGUGGCUCUAUAAGUCCGUUGUGAAAGUCAAAGGCUCAACCUUUGAAAGCCGAUGGAUACUGUAGAGCUAGAGUACGGAAGAGGCGAGUGGAAUUCCCGGUGUAGCGGUGAAAUGCGCAGAUAUCGGGAGGAACACCAAUUGCGAAGGCAGCUCGCUGGGACGUCACUGACGCUGAGACGCGAAAGCGUGGGGAGCGAACAGG
This 253-nucleotide ribosomal RNA is filed under the name uncultured bacterium. Its description in RNAcentral is "partial 16S ribosomal RNA". It matches the Rfam family "Bacterial small subunit ribosomal RNA", at positions 524 to 776 of the family's 1533-position model. The record is from RNAcentral.